Molecule: ribosomal RNA, 163 nt
Filed under: uncultured bacterium
Lineage: Bacteria
Description: partial 16S ribosomal RNA
Rfam family: Bacterial small subunit ribosomal RNA
Source: RNAcentral
UAGUAAUGGCAGGUCAGCAUACUGCCGUGAAUACGUUCCCGGGCCUUGUACACACCGCCCGUCACACCAUGAGAGUUGGAGAUACCCGAAGCCUGUGAGCUAACAUAUGAGGCAGCAGUCGAAGGUAGAAUCAAUGAUUGGGGUGAAGUCGUAACAAGGUAGC